GGCCCAGAGGUGUUUCACGCAAGAGUGCAAAUCUUGAGAAGAGCCCCAAAAGGUGCUCCUGGGCUU
RNAcentral lists this transfer RNA (66 nucleotides) under Plestiodon egregius lividus. RNAcentral describes it as "tRNA-Cys". RNAcentral also lists the same sequence under 1 other name. Lineage: Eukaryota; Metazoa; Chordata; Lepidosauria; Squamata; Scincidae. The record is from RNAcentral.